Molecule: ribosomal RNA, 340 nt
Filed under: uncultured bacterium
Lineage: Bacteria
Description: bacterial SSU rRNA
Rfam family: Bacterial small subunit ribosomal RNA
Source: RNAcentral
GACGAACGCUGGCGGCGUGCUUAACACAUGCAAGUCGAGCGGUAAGGCCCUUUCGGGGGUACACGAGCGGCGAACGGGUGAGUAACACGUGGGUGACCUGCCCUCAGCUCUGGGAUAAGCCUGGGAAACCGGGUCUAAUACUGGAUAUGACUCCAUGACGCAUGUUGUGGGGUGGAAAGCCUUGUGCGGCUGAGGAUGGGCCCGCGGCCUAUCAGCUUGUUGGUGGGGUGAGGCCUACCAAAGGCGACGACGGGUAGCCGGCCUGAGAGGGCGACCGGCCACACUGGGACUGAGACACGGCCCAGACUCCUACGGGAGGCAGCAGUGGGGAAUCUUGCGC